UCGAAGGUAGCAUAAUCAGUAGUCUUUUAAUUGAAGGCUGGUAUGAAUGGUUGGACGAAGUAUUAACUGUUUCAAAAUAAAUUAAAAUAAAAUUUUAUUUUUUAGUAAAAAAGCUAAAAUUUAUUUAAAAGACGAGAAGACCCUAUAAAUCUUUAUAUAAUUAUAUGUUAUAAUUUUUUAGAUUUAUUUUAUUAUAAUAAUUAAUUAUAUUUUAUUGGGGUGAUAUUAAAAUUUAUUAAACUUUUAAUUAUUAAAAUCAUUAAUUUUUGAUUAAUUGAUCCGUUAUUAACGAUUAAAAAAUUAAGUUACUUUAGGGAUAACAGCGUAAUUUUUUUGGAGAGUUCAUAUCGAUAAAAAAGAUUGCGACCUCG
This 371-nucleotide ribosomal RNA is filed under the name Stevenia sp. n. 8a AT-2015. Its description in RNAcentral is "partial 16S ribosomal RNA". The record is from RNAcentral. Lineage: Eukaryota; Metazoa; Arthropoda; Insecta; Diptera; Rhinophoridae.